This 854-nucleotide ribosomal RNA is filed under the name uncultured Bacillota bacterium. RNAcentral describes it as "bacterial SSU rRNA". It matches the Rfam family "Bacterial small subunit ribosomal RNA", at positions 70 to 902 of the family's 1533-position model. Lineage: Bacteria; Bacillati; Bacillota. The record is from RNAcentral.
AAAGGUUCCUUCGGGAACCGAGUAGAGUGGCGCACGGGUGAGUAACACGUAGGUAAUCUACCUCUGGGCGGGGAAUAACAGUCGGAAACGGCUGCUAAUACCGCAUAAUGCAGCGGCACCACAUGGUGACAGUUGUUAAAGCGGGGGAUCGUAAGACCUCGCGCCUAGAGAUGAGCCUGCGGCAGAUUAGCUAGUUGGCAGGGUAACGGCCUACCAAGGCUUCGAUCUGUAGCCGGCCUGAGAGGGCGGACGGCCACACUGGCACUGACAUACGGGCCAGACUCCUACGGGAGGCAGCAGUCGGGAAUUUUGGGCAAUGGGCGAAAGCCUGACCCAGCAACGCCGCGUGAAGGAUGAAGCUUUUCGGAGUGUAAACUUCAUAAGAAUGGGACGAAUAAGUGGGGGAUAAUACCCCCCAUGAUGACGGUACCAUUUGUAAGCUCCGGCUAACUCCGUGCCAGCAGCCGCGGUAAUACGGGGGGAGCAAGCGUUGUUCGGAUUUACUGGGCGUAAAGGGCGCGUAGGCGGCGCAACAAGUCACUUGUGAAAUCUCCGGGCUUAACCCGGAGCGGCCAAGUGAUACUGUCGUGCUAGAGUGCGGAAGGGGCUACUGGAAUUCUCGGUGUAGCGGUGAAAUGCGUAGAUAUCGAGAGGAACACCUGCGGCGAAGGCGGGUAGCUGGGCCGACACUGACGCUGAGGCGCGAAAGCCAGGGGAGCGAACGGGAUUAGAUACCCCGGUAGUCCUGGCCUUAAACGAUGGAUACUUGGUGUCCGGGGUUACAUAGUCCCCGGGUGCCGGCGCUAACGCAUUAAGUAUCCCGCCUGGGGAGUACGGUCGCAAGACUGAAACUC